UUCAAGAAAUAGUUUAAUUAAAAUAUUAAUUUUGGGGAUUAAAGAUAAGGGAUUUCCUUUUUUCUUGA
This 68-nucleotide transfer RNA is filed under the name Bistrispinaria magniceps. RNAcentral's name for it is "partial tRNA-Pro". The record is from RNAcentral. Lineage: Eukaryota; Metazoa; Arthropoda; Insecta; Diptera; Tephritidae.